UGGUGAUGAAAAUUUCAAGGUCUAAGUUAAUAGUUAUAUUUUGCUUUGCAAUCCUUUUCAUAAGAAAAUUACCCUGAGCAUGGUCAUCAGAACAAUUUAUCCCAUGAGAGGUGUAGCUUGUUGGGGAUCCACAUCUAAAUUUUAAUAUAUAUGCAAUGAUUUACUCUUCUCAGUAUUUUUGAUAUUCUGUGCCCCUUAUUUCAUGUUUUAUAUCUAGUUGGCCUCGAUUCUCGCAUUAGAUAAAUGAUGAAAACUUUUAAUAGUUUUUCCUAUCACAGGAAAUGGGGAGAUUUUCUAGGGGUUAAAAAUCUGAGAAAUGAUAUGUUCCUCCAUGAGUUGUCCAUUAUUGUUAUUUUUAAUUUAUUUUGGUGCCGAAAAUAUUUGCUUUAAUUUCUAGAUAAUUAUUUGG
RNAcentral lists this unclassified non-coding RNA (409 nucleotides) under Hevea brasiliensis (rubber tree). Lineage: Eukaryota; Viridiplantae; Streptophyta; Magnoliopsida; Malpighiales; Euphorbiaceae. The record is from RNAcentral.